RNAcentral lists this ribosomal RNA (301 nucleotides) under Capsala laevis. Its description in RNAcentral is "eukaryotic LSU rRNA". It matches the Rfam family "Eukaryotic large subunit ribosomal RNA", at positions 70 to 338 of the family's 3401-position model. Lineage: Eukaryota; Metazoa; Platyhelminthes; Monogenea; Capsalidea; Capsalidae. The record is from RNAcentral.
CAGGAUUCUCUUAGUAACUGCGAGUGAACAGAGAUUAGCCCAACAUCGAAGCUUGCAAGCAUUUUGUUUGUUAAGCAAUGUGAUGUUAAGAUGUUUGCUAACGUAGACUGGCCAACUUGAAGUCCAAAUUUGAAUGUGGCAUAUAUGUAUAAACCCAAAGAUGGUGAAAGGCCCGUUCAAGUUGGUAAUCAGACAUGACAGUUUGCGUGUAUGCAUUCAUCUUGGAGUCGGAUUGCUUGAGAGUGCAGUCCAAAGUUGGUGGUAAACUCCAUCUAAGGCUAAAUACCUGUACGAGUCCGAU